This 894-nucleotide ribosomal RNA is filed under the name Neopestalotiopsis sp. 15 SSNM-2014. RNAcentral describes it as "LSU rRNA". It matches the Rfam family "Eukaryotic large subunit ribosomal RNA", at positions 42 to 961 of the family's 3401-position model. Lineage: Eukaryota; Fungi; Ascomycota; Sordariomycetes; Amphisphaeriales; Sporocadaceae. The record is from RNAcentral.
AUCAAUAAGCGGAGGAAAAGAAACCAACAGGGAUUGCCUUAGUAACGGCGAGUGAAGCGGCAACAGCUCAAAUUUGAAAUCUGGCCCUUGGGUCCGAAUUGUAAUUUGUAGAGGAUGAUUUUGGUGCGGUAUCUUCCGAGUUCCUUGGAACAGGACGCCUUAGAGGGUGAGAGCCCCGUACGGUUGAAUGCCUAGCCUCUGUAAAUCUCCUUCGACGAGUCGAGUAGUUUGGGAAUGCUGCUCUAAAUGGGAGGUAAAUUUCUUCUAAAGCUAAAUAUUGGCCAGAGACCGAUAGCGCACAAGUAGAGUGAUCGAAAGAUGAAAAGCACUUUGAAAAGAGGGUUAAAUAGCACGUGAAAUUGUUGAAAGGGAAGGAUUUGUGACCAGACUUUUUCUGGGCGGAUCAUCCGGGGUUCUCUCCGGUGCACUUCGCCCAGUAAAGGCCAGCAUCGGUUUUCGGCGUGGGAUAAAAGCAGUAGGAAUGUGGCUCUCUACGGGGAGUGUUAUAGCCUAUUGUAUAAUACCGCGCUGGGGACCGAGGUUCGCGCUUCUGCAAGGAUGCUGGCGUAAUGGUUAUCAAUCACCCGUCUUGAAACACGGACCAAGGAGUCGAACAUUUGUGCGAGUGUUUGGGUGUUAAACCCUCACGCGUAAUGAAAGUGAACGGAGGUGAGAGCCCUUACGGGUGCAUCAUCGACCGAUCCUGAAGUUUUCGGAUGGAUUUGAGUAAGAGCAUAACUGUUCGGACCCGAAAGAUGGUGAACUAUGCGUGGAUAGGGUGAAGCCAGAGGAAACUCUGGUGGAGGCUCGCAGCGGUUCUGACGUGCAAAUCGAUCGUCAAAUCUGCGCAUGGGGGCGAAAGACUAAUCGAACCAUCUAGUAGCUGGUUACCGC